UACGUAGGUUCCGAGCGUUGUCCGGAUUUAUUGGGCGUAAAGCGAGCGCAGGCGGUUUGAUAAGUCUGAAGUUAAAGGCUGUGGCUCAACCAUAGUUCGCUUUGGAAACUGUCAAACUUGAGUGCAGAAGGGGAGAGUGGAAUUCCAUGUGUAGCGGUGAAAUGCGUAGAUAUAUGGAGGAACACCGGUGGCGAAAGCGGCUCUCUGGUCUGUAACUGACGCUGAGGCUCGAAAGCGUGGGGAGCGAACAGG
RNAcentral lists this ribosomal RNA (252 nucleotides) under Streptococcus salivarius. RNAcentral describes it as "partial 16S ribosomal RNA". It matches the Rfam family "Bacterial small subunit ribosomal RNA", at positions 524 to 776 of the family's 1533-position model. The record is from RNAcentral. Lineage: Bacteria; Bacillati; Bacillota; Bacilli; Lactobacillales; Streptococcaceae.